Molecule: ribosomal RNA, 363 nt
Filed under: uncultured fungus
Lineage: Eukaryota; Fungi
Description: SSU rRNA
Rfam family: Eukaryotic small subunit ribosomal RNA
Source: RNAcentral
GCCCUUCGAUAACGAACGAGACCUUAACCUACUAAAUAGCUCGAUUAGCAUUAGCUGAUUAUAAGCUUCUUAGAGGGACUAUCGAUUUCAAGUCGAUGGAAGUUUGAGGCAAUAACAGGUCUGUGAUGCCCUUAGACGUUCUGGGCCGCACGCGCGCUACACUGACGGAGCCAACGAGUAAAUAACCUUGGCCAAGAGGUUUGGGUAAUCUUGUUAAACUCCGUCGUGCUGGGGAUAGAGCAUUGCAAUUAUUGCUCUUCAACGAGGAAUUCCUAGUAAGCGCAAGUCAUCAGCUUGCGUUGAUUACGUCCCUGCCCUUUGUACACACCGCCCGUCGCUACUACCGAUUGAAUGGCUAAGGGC